AGUUAAUAAGCUAACAGCAUGUGUCUUGAAAACACAAAUUAGAAGUUAAAACCUUCUAUUAACUU
This 65-nucleotide transfer RNA is filed under the name Teredorus bashanensis. RNAcentral's name for it is "tRNA-Ser". It matches the Rfam family "tRNA". From Rfam's summary of the family: Transfer RNA (tRNA) molecules are approximately 80 nucleotides in length. Their secondary structure includes four short double-helical elements and three loops (D, anti-codon, and T loops). RNAcentral also lists the same sequence under 1 other name. The record is from RNAcentral. Lineage: Eukaryota; Metazoa; Arthropoda; Insecta; Orthoptera; Tetrigidae.